AAAUAUGUCAAUCAUCAAUAACAAACACAACUUUACCUCAUUUAACUGCCAAUGCUAUAAGCAGCAUGAUGAAUAAAAUGAUAUUUUAUAACAAAAAACAAAAACAAAGUGGGAGAUUCUGAAGCUAUCAUCUCCGAGGGUACUUCUUACAUAUAGACAGAAAAUUCAUAUAGCUCAAAUUUCAUUAUUUUUCUUUAUCAAUAUAUUUUCUGAUUAAUAAUGUCCUGAUCAUGGAAAGGAAAAAUUGUUACUAAUUAAUCACUGC
Molecule: long non-coding RNA, 265 nt
Filed under: Cicer arietinum (chickpea)
Lineage: Eukaryota; Viridiplantae; Streptophyta; Magnoliopsida; Fabales; Fabaceae
Description: long non-coding RNA (CARI_LNC001642)
Source: RNAcentral